AUUGAACGCUGGCGGCAGGCCUAACACAUGCAAGUCGAGCGGAUGAAGGUAGCUUGCUCCUGAAUUCAGCGGCGGACGGGUGAGUAAUGCCUAGGAAUCUGCCUGGUAGUGGGGGAUAACGUCCGGUAACGGGCGCUAAUACCGCAUACGUCCUGAGGGCGCAAGUGGGGGCUCUUCGGCCCUCACGCUAUCAGAUGAGCCUAGGCCGGAUUAGCUAGUUGGUGGGGUAAAGGCCUACCCAGUCGACGAUCCGUAACUGGUCUGAGAGGAUGAUCAGUCACACUGGAACCAAGACACGGUACUGUCUGCUACAGGAGGAUGCGUUGGUGAGUAUUGGACAAUGGGCGAAGGUAGUAUCCACCCAUCCCGCGUGUGUGAAGAAGGUCUUCGGAUUGUAAAGCACAUGAUGGUGGGAGGGAGGGCAGUAAGUCAAUACCUUGGUGUUUUGACGUGACUAUCAGAAGAAGCCCCGGCUAACUUCGUG
This 484-nucleotide ribosomal RNA is filed under the name uncultured bacterium. Its description in RNAcentral is "partial 16S ribosomal RNA". It matches the Rfam family "Bacterial small subunit ribosomal RNA", at positions 30 to 507 of the family's 1533-position model. The record is from RNAcentral.